AGACUUGUGUGAUAUUCGCAGCGGUAAGAACUGAACAGCCCUUUCCUUUAGUCUGUAGGAUGCAACUACAAGCAGAAGGUUUAGAUCAACAUACAUGUGGGUCCCAGACUCAGAUCCUGAUACCGAUGCUGACUUUCCCUAUGGCUUAAGGUGCUUACAGCAAGAACGGUGUUGGUCUCUUCUCACUGGUGACAGGUGACAGGAAGAGGGGAAAUGGCCUCAAGUUGCACCAGGGAAUGAAAUCACAUUUGAAGAUUCAAUGCUUUAUGAAACUGAAGUGCUAUUUUCUACCAUCUCUGCUUUGAGCAUUCAUGUUCAGCUUUGAGAACAAGGAUCUAUGAGGAACACAAGCCUUUAUCUCAUGCAUGCUGAAUACAAUCUGUUCACUCAGAGCCACAUGAGAGGAGGGAAUAGUGCCUGCUAGGAUCCAGCUCUCAAAAUGUGUGAACAGUGGACAGGAUCACCCACUCCACUUUGGAUAGUGUUGAUCACUGUGAAUUCUCACUGAAUGCAAAACAAUGAUGAGUCAAAUCCUGCCAUAUAAGCCGGAUGAAAUAUUCCCACUUAAUAGUAACGUCUGAGUAAAAUCUUAAACUGUCACCCAGGCAGUUUGCCUUCUCUUCAUCUUAACUUAAGAAAAUGCAUAUCCUAGAACACACAUCUAAAGUGACACAGAGCUUCAAUAAGUGAACACAGACAUCCUUUGAAGUCUCCUCAAUUCUUCCAAGUCCUCAGGCCAUUUCAAAGUGUGUUCUGGGAAAGGAAUAAGUGCAAGAGUUGGACCACCUGCCUUGGCACCAGAACAGUGACCUAAUUGUCCCUUCCCAAAUAUACAAAGAAGGCAGGAAGCAGUUUCAGUUUCUUAAUUCCAGUUUUGUGAAGGCAUCUCCCUACUUGCCUGAGCUCACUGUUGCUGUUCAAGGAAGAGACAGAUUCUUUACACAGCCUUUCUUUUGAGCAUUUCCUAUCAACUAGCUCCUGUCUUCAUAAGGUGCCCUGUGUUUGGCACUUACCUCUCUUCAGAACUUGGAUGCCUCAUUUGAAUUAUGCUCUCUCACCAAACAGCUCCAGCUAUCAUAAAAUCUAAAUCCCCCGUUCUUAUUCCAAAUCCCAGGACUGGACAACCUCUAUAUUUUCUAUAUUAAUUGAAGAUAGGCAAAGGUGUGGGGAAGCUGGGAGCAGAAGAAAAUUAUACUGAAUGACAUUAACAUACAUUAUUAAUAGAAGAAUAUGAUGAAAAUAAAAACAUAGUAACUGAAUCAAUUGAGAUGACUUGAGACCAGGUUGGAUGGGGCCGCAGGCAGUGUGAUCUAGUAUUAGAUAUGGAGGUUGGCGGCCCUGCCUGCAGCAGGGGGAUUGGAGCUAAAUGAUCCUUGAGGACACUUCCAACCCAAGCCAUUCUACAGUUCUAUGAUUAUGAUUCUAUUACUUAUGGAGAGAGUGUUAGGAGGAAGAGCAAGAAGGAGAUCAUAGGUGGAAAAGACUUAGAAGGAAGGAAAAUUGGAAAGAUAAGCAAACAGAAUGAGGAAAAAAACCAACAGAAGAAAUUAGUAGAAUCAUAAAAUAAUUCUGAAGAAAAUCAGGUUGAAGAAAUGCCACAAUAAAGCCUGAGCUGAGCUGUUUUGAGGUCUGUUCCCUGUUGUAGAUAUCUGUACAUUUAGCUCUGAACUUUCUCAAGUGUUUGAUUCCACUUAACUGAACUGGAACGCUCUAAUACUGUACACUACCUCAUAGAGAUUGACAAAAAAAGUGUUGACUGGGACACUGGUGAUUGCUCACUCUGGAUAGGUCCACAUCCCUCUGCUUAUAUCCCCUUGAAUUUUGUAACAAUGGCAUAAACUCAUUCUACCAGCAUCCACACAAUAUCUAAAUGUUGUAUGAAGCAAAUUGAUCCAAAAGUUGUGUAUGCCAGUUUUAGCUCUUCCAGCAGGUAUCUAAUACAUUUCAAAGCACGAUGUUUUAGUAUGUUUGAAUCACACUCAGAACACAAUGAGUGCUUAUAUCUCUUUUUUCAAAAUGCUGUGAGAACAUAAGCAAAGGAGAAGCUGACUCGCUGCUAUGCUAUGAUCCCACGUUCCCACUAAAAGUGCUGCUGUAAUUUAUAGCCCUUCUUGUUCGUAUCUCCUAGAGUAAUUUUAGCACUGCCAUCAAGGAAAGUGAUAUAUGUGAAUCAAUUACUAACUGAGGCUACUAGGAUAACAGCACCUGAGAAAUGCUUUGUCUGAAGGAGGGAAGUGCGUGGCUUGGAACCUGACUGAAGAGAAUACAAAAAGAAAAAAAAAGAAAAAAAAGUUGUAAAAGGAAAAUAAUACAGUUUGAUAGCCUGAAGUAAAAUAAAUCUUUAGUCUUUCCCUGUGAAUUUGCACAGUUAA
Long non-coding RNA from Gallus gallus (chicken), 2372 nucleotides. RefSeq lists it as uncharacterized. The transcript has 4 exons. Lineage: Eukaryota; Metazoa; Chordata; Aves; Galliformes; Phasianidae. The record is from RefSeq and is a predicted model, not a curated record.